Molecule: ribosomal RNA, 483 nt
Filed under: uncultured bacterium
Lineage: Bacteria
Description: bacterial SSU rRNA
Rfam family: Bacterial small subunit ribosomal RNA
Source: RNAcentral
AUUGAACGCUGGCGGCAUGCCUAACACAUGCAAGUCGAACGGCAGCACGGGAGCUUGCUCCUGGUGGCGAGUGGCGGACGGGUGAGUAAUGCAUAGGAAUCUGCCCAGUAGCGGGGGACAACUUGGGGAAACUCAAGCUAAUACCGCAUGCGCCCUACGGGGGGAAANCGGGGGGACCUUCGGGCCUCGCACUAUUGGAUGAGCCUAUGUCAGAUUAGCUUGUUGGUGGGUAACGGCCUACCAAGGCGACGAUCUGUAGCUGGUCUGAGAGGACGAUCAGCCACACUGGGACUGAGACACGGCCCAGACUCCUACGGGAGGCAGCAGUGGGGAAUAUUGCACAAUGGGCGAAAGCCUGAUGCAGCAAUGCCGCGUGUGUGAAGAAGGCCUGCGGGUUGUAAAGCACUUUCAGUAGGGAGGAAACAGUAGCCGGUUAAUAUCCGGUUGCCUUGACGUUACCUACAGAAGAAGCACCGGCUAACU